This 1056-nucleotide long non-coding RNA is filed under the name Aquilegia coerulea. Its description in RNAcentral is "long non-coding RNA (ACOE_LNC000407)". The stretch from base 353 to 431 matches the Rfam family "tRNA". The record is from RNAcentral. Lineage: Eukaryota; Viridiplantae; Streptophyta; Magnoliopsida; Ranunculales; Ranunculaceae.
CCCUGAAGUUGAAAGGUUUUCCUUCGUGCCCAUCUUCAGGCAUCUUCAGCAAGAGUCCAGCAACAGGCCGGGUAGUGAGCCGCAAUGAAUAAGGCAUAUGGGGACACAAGUUUAAUAUCCAUACCAAGAUAAGAGAGAGUAAUGGUUAAGUGAUCACAAGUAUUUUCUUCUUAAAUUCCCAUACCUCAUUAUGUAAUUUCUAUAAAUUAUCACAGUCCAUAAUGUUAAUCAUAGGGGUGAAUCAUCUAAAACCAGGUUAGUUUACCGAAGUCUUGUGGUUCCACACUCUGGAAUUUUCGAUUCUGCAGGGCAGAAAAUAAAUAUCAAUCAUGUUAGUAACCCAUGAAGUUUUGUGGUGGCGCAGUUGGCUAGCGCGUAGGUCUCAUAGCUAAGCGAGUGAUCCUGAGGUCGAGAGUUCGAGCCUCUCUCACCCCAAUGUUUUUUUAGGCUCAGAAGCAGUUGAGCUCCUCAGGAGAGUGCAGAAGAUAAUGGAUAGCAACGUCAGUUGAGCUCUUCAGGAGAGUGCAGAAGAUAAUGGAUAGCAACGUGAUGACUGCAGGUUCGAACGAAUAUGUAUUUAGGAGAAUCGGGUUUGCUAUCCAGAAAGGACUUGCCGCGCAGUUUGUAGCGCGUUUGUCCUCUACUUUUGUGUAAUUCGUUGAGCUUAUCAAUAAAAUUUGAAUUAAAUUUAAAAAAAAAAAAUAAAAAAAUGUAACAAUGAAGUCGGGUGAUGUUACUUACACUACAUUAAAUUCAUCCUCACCCGAAUGUCCUUGACAUGAAACACAAGCUCUUGGUUCUUUGAUGCAGCUGCAUUACAUGUACCACACCAUAAGAGGAAGACAACGAUUCAGGAUUUCAUUCCGAAGGAGCCUCCCCUUUUGGGGUAACCCCCAAACCCUUAAGGGUUGGGGGAUAAACGGGACGGACGGGGGUUAAUAAUGAAAACAAAAUUUAACUUCAAAAUUUAAUCAUGGAAACAGUUUUUCUAUUGUUUUCUCCCAUGUUUGUUUCUCGACAAUAAGGUUUUGAUAGGUUUUUUCGAUAAAUAACUUC